RNAcentral lists this ribosomal RNA (1438 nucleotides) under Staphylococcus sp. CIFT MR-CoNS-SA-17. RNAcentral's name for it is "bacterial SSU rRNA". It matches the Rfam family "Bacterial small subunit ribosomal RNA". Lineage: Bacteria; Bacillati; Bacillota; Bacilli; Caryophanales; Staphylococcaceae. The record is from RNAcentral.
UGCAAGUCGAGCGAACAGAUGAGAAGCUUGCUUCUCUGAUGUUAGCGGCGGACGGGUGAGUAACACGUGGGUAACCUACCUAUAAGACUGGGAUAACUCCGGGAAACCGGGGCUAAUACCGGAUAAUAUUUUGAACCGCAUGGUUCAAUAGUGAAAGACGGUUUCGGCUGUCACUUAUAGAUGGACCCGCGCCGUAUUAGCUAGUUGGUAAGGUAACGGCUUACCAAGGCGACGAUACGUAGCCGACCUGAGAGGGUGAUCGGCCACACUGGAACUGAGACACGGUCCAGACUCCUACGGGAGGCAGCAGUAGGGAAUCUUCCGCAAUGGGCGAAAGCCUGACGGAGCAACGCCGCGUGAGUGAUGAAGGUCUUCGGAUCGUAAAACUCUGUUGUUAGGGAAGAACAAAUUUGUUAGUAACUGAACAAGUCUUGACGGUACCUAACCAGAAAGCCACGGCUAACUACGUGCCAGCAGCCGCGGUAAUACGUAGGUGGCAAGCGUUAUCCGGAAUUAUUGGGCGUAAAGCGCGCGUAGGCGGUUUCUUAAGUCUGAUGUGAAAGCCCACGGCUCAACCGUGGAGGGUCAUUGGAAACUGGGAAACUUGAGUGCAGAAGAGGAGAGUGGAAUUCCAUGUGUAGCGGUGAAAUGCGCAGAGAUAUGGAGGAACACCAGUGGCGAAGGCGGCUCUCUGGUCUGUAACUGACGCUGAUGUGCGAAAGCGUGGGGAUCAAACAGGAUUAGAUACCCUGGUAGUCCACGCCGUAAACGAUGAGUGCUAAGUGUUAGGGGGUUUCCGCCCCUUAGUGCUGCAGCUAACGCAUUAAGCACUCCGCCUGGGGAGUACGACCGCAAGGUUGAAACUCAAAGGAAUUGACGGGGACCCGCACAAGCGGUUGAGCAUGUGGUUUAAUUCGAAGCACGCGAAGAACCUUACCAAUCUUGACAUCCUUUGACCGCUCUAGAGAUAGAGUCUUCCCCUUCGGGGGACAAAGUGACAGGUGGUGCAUGGUUGUCGUCAGCUCGUGUCGUGAGAUGUUGGGUUAAGUCCCGCAACGAGCGCAACCCUUAAGCUUAGUUGCCAUCAUUAAGUUGGGCACUCUAGGUUGACUGCCGGUGACAAACCGGAGGAAGGUGGGGAUGACGUCAAAUCAUCAUGCCCCUUAUGAUUUGGGCUACACACGUGCUACAAUGGAUAAUACAAAGGGCAGCGAAUCCGCGAGGCCAAGCAAAUCCCAUAAAAUUAUUCUCAGUUCGGAUUGUAGUCUGCAACUCGACUACAUGAAGCUGGAAUCGCUAGUAAUCGUAGAUCAGCAUGCUACGGUGAAUACGUUCCCGGGUCUUGUACACACCGCCCGUCACACCACGAGAGUUUGUAACACCCGAAGCCGGUGGAGUAACCUUUUAGGAGCUAGCCGUCGAAGGUGGGACAAAUGAU